Molecule: transfer RNA, 72 nt
Filed under: Ictidomys tridecemlineatus (thirteen-lined ground squirrel)
Lineage: Eukaryota; Metazoa; Chordata; Mammalia; Rodentia; Sciuridae
Description: Spermophilus tridecemlineatus (thirteen-lined ground squirrel) tRNA
Rfam family: tRNA
About the family: Transfer RNA (tRNA) molecules are approximately 80 nucleotides in length.
Source: Rfam by way of RNAcentral
AGGGUUGUGGCUCAGUGGUAGAGUACUUGCCUAGCAUACAUGAGGCCCUGGGUUGGAUCCUCAGCACCACUU